Molecule: ribosomal RNA, 460 nt
Filed under: uncultured bacterium
Lineage: Bacteria
Description: partial 16S ribosomal RNA
Rfam family: Bacterial small subunit ribosomal RNA
Source: RNAcentral
CCUACGGGUGGCUGCAGUGAGGAAUAUUGGUCAAUGGCCGGAAGGCUGAACCAGCCAUGCCGCGUGAAGGUCAGUGCCCUAUGGGCGUUAAACUUUUUUUGCGCGGGAGCAAUAAUGGUCACGUGUGGCCAGACGAGAGUACCGUACGAAUAAGCAUCGGCUAACCCCGUGCCAGCAGCCGCGGUAAUACGGGGGAUGCAAGCGUUAUCCGGAGUUAUUGGGUUUAAAGGGUGCGUAGGCUGGGAGGUAAGUCAGCGGGGAAAUGCCCCCGCGCAACGGGGUGAAGUGCCAUUGAUACUGCCUUGCUGGAAUGCGGAUGCCGUGGGAGGAAUGUGGGGUGUAGCGGUGAAAUGCAUAGAUAUCGCACAGAACACCGAUUGCGAAGGCAGCUCACGAAUCCGCGAUUGACGCUGAUGCACGAAAGCGUGGGUAUCGAACAGGAUUAGAUACCCUAGUAGUC